AUCUUUACUACUUUAUAUGUUAGCAGUGUAGGCGUGCACACUGCCUUGUUCUGCCAUCGCGCGCUCGCCUCCCUCCCCGCGCCCGCAGUCCCCGCAUCCGCGCCCGCAGUCCCGCCGCGCCCGCAGUCCCCGCUGCCGAGCAGUCCUGCCGCGCCCCCUCCCCCUGCAAACCCCACCACGACGCAGCAACAGAUCCACCAUCGACGUGCGCGCCGCGCGCCCCGACGCGGAACGCUGGAUCCCACGCAGCAGGAGGUGGCCAACCAGUCGCCAUCGCCCCCGGCCCCCACCCCGCCUGCUGCAGCAAGCGGCGUCCGCUACCGCACGCCCUCGUCCCCGGACCUCCUCCUCCCUGCCGACGCCGCCAAGAUGCGCCGCUACUCCGCGCUGCCCAACGGCGGCCGCCAGGAGACGCUGGCCGACCGCGCGCACCGCUACCGGGGCAUCGUGCUCGUCAUCCUCGCCCCGCUCGCGCUCGUCUCUCUCGUCCUCCUCCUCAUGCCACGCUCACCCGCUGGCACCAUGGGCAGCGCCCGGGAUAGACAGCGAGAUCGAGCUCUUCGUCCAGGUACGCACUCCCCCGCCCGGUGACCCGUUGCCGGACCUGGAGUCACGCUGCCUAGACUCGCCGCUGGGUGGAUUCGUCGAGGUGGAGGUCGGAUUGUGACCACGCCAUCCAGUUAGGACGUCGUCGUCUCCAGAUCCAGGGGAUGGGGUUGCUCGGCAUGGCGGCCAAGGGCCCCUCGCCCACGCGUCGCCUCCUGCCGCAGCCGCACUUGGCCGUCUCCUCGCUGGUGGCCUCCGUGGCUCUGAUCCACCCUUCCUCAACACCCAAAGAUGGUUGACGUCACCUUCGCCGUCUCCUCGCCAGUGGCCUCCACCAGCCCCGCAGUCCAAGACAAAGCCGCGACAUGAGUCAACCCAAGUCCGGUCGCACCUACACCGAUGACCGUACCCAACGUGAGUCAAGCCAAGUCCAUUCCCCUCCCUUGCUUCCUCAACUUGUUGUCUUGUGGUCUGAAGUUUGUCUCGGAGAAGGUGAUGCCAUCAUCAUCAGUUGUGAUUAUGAAUUAUAUUCUACCGAUAGGUAUUCAAUCUCUCUAUUCGGCAACACCUUAAAAAGAUUUACUUCAAAAUAUUGACAAGUGGAUUGCAGGCUUAGAUAAUUUUUGGAACACAACAUUGCUCCAAAAAAGUUUUACUGAAGAAAAGGUAUCAGUCUGCAGUUUGGUAAGUGAGUCUGAAUCUGCAGCACCAAGGACUUCAAGAAUUAGUCUGAACCUGCACUUACAGUUCCAUGGGUCUUCUCAAUUCUUAAUAAUAUUAUAUUUUUAAUGAAUAAUUGAAUAUAUAUUGAGUCUGUGCCAUAGAUUCAGUCGCCUUAACACCCUUUGCUGUUUCCCACUUAAGUUAGUUAAUGAGAUGAAUGGAUGGAAAUUACGUAGUGAAUGUAUGAUAAGUCCAGGCUACAUGUUAAAAGACACACUUGGCUACUUGACCUCUGUAUUUCCAUGAAGAAAUCUUACUGACGGGUGCUUUCAUCUGCUAUUUGGAUCCGUUGCUGAUGGAUCUUACAAAGAAGUUGAGCUUUAAGAGGAACGUGGUGUCAUUGUCAUCUGAGCUCAAGGGUGUGAGGAGCAAGCUUGCUUCCUAGGAGCAGCUGUUUGUAAGGGAAUCUCAAACUGGAAAGCUUGCGGAGACAAAAACAAGGAGCAUGGAAGAGGAAGUAAUCAAGCUGCAUAAAUGCUUACAGGACAAGGAUGAACAACUGCAUUCAUUCACAAGUAGCACAGAACAGUACCAUCAUGAGUUGGAUGAUCUUAGAACACAUCUGUCAUUUACUCAAGCUACAGGAGAAGCAGGAACCCAACUGAACCUUCAACUUGCUUGUUCUGGGAGAUCUGUGAGCAAGCGAGUGCUCCUCACAAUGGGUAUUCGACAUGAGCCCCAUCCCUGCCACAGACUUGGGAAAGGCACAGUGAUUUUUAUGGUGACAUGAAUACAUUCCUCUUCAAAUUAUAUCUUUAAGCAUCCAUUUUUCGCCCUACUGGUGCAAACAAGAAUUUGCAAUGGGUAGGUUACUGGCUGCACUUGUUUUUGAAUACUUGGAGUGACCACAACUAAGUCACACAAUGAAACUUUACUUUCCAGAGUGUAACCUGCCGGACUUCUGAUAGAAUGAACUGAAAGACUUCUCUAACAAAAGUGGAGCUGAGGGGAGCAAGAGUGCUGAAAGUGGUCCAAUGUUUUUAGAUGUUCUCGAAUGUUAUCUGAAAUAUGAGGUUUAUCUCUUGCUUGAUCAACAAUAGAAGCAAAAAAUCAUCCUUUUGUUUAUUUAUGUUUCCCAAUAUAAAGGAAAAGGGGAAAUAUUUUGGUGCAGUGUGCCCAAUUCUUUUGUCUCUAGAAAACUAUGUAGUCGCCUAUAGCAGGCGCUAUAGUCAGUUUUAGCUAUUUUAGACACCACUACUAUUUGUACACACAUUUCUAUUAUCCUAUUUUAGCCUGCUAUAUUCAUGUAUGAGCCUUAUGGGAACUCUGCAACUACUAUGGAUCCUCUUAUACAUUGUGUUCGACAUGCAGACAAGGUAGUAUAUUGAGUUGGACCAAUAAUCCUUCAUAUUUAUUGAUGUGAAUUAUGUUGUACUGGUGUCCUGUCCUUUUGUUUGUGCUUUAUAAUUUGUAAUUCCUAGCUGCUGAUAUGGUCUGAUGGAUGGGAGGUGGCUGAAAUCGUUCGGGUAUGGUGCAUAAAAAAGUAGGAACCACAAUGAGAUUGUGAUGCUGCACAUGACACAUCAAGGUGCGCAAGAUAUGUACCAUAGAAAUUAUCGUAAAGUGCACACAGUUGUAUGUAUAGAUGUUUAGAAGUGGCCGAAGUUAGGCUUGCUCAACCGGGGCAAUGAUUUACUUAGCCUGCUGAAAUGUACUAUAGGUAGCAUUCAAGUUUGUGACCAUCAUGCAAGUACAUGUGGUUUGUUGAAAUUGUGUGGUCAUCGGAGAUGUAGCAAAAUGUUCCUUAUCGAGAGCUCGUGUACUAUAUUUGUUUUAUGAACUUAAUUUUGUUGAUGUAGGACUAUUACAAA
This is an RNA transcript of Zea mays, 3080 nucleotides long. RefSeq lists it as uncharacterized. The transcript has 8 exons. The record is from RefSeq and is a predicted model, not a curated record. Lineage: Eukaryota; Viridiplantae; Streptophyta; Magnoliopsida; Poales; Poaceae.